Molecule: non-coding RNA, 30 nt
Filed under: Homo sapiens (human)
Lineage: Eukaryota; Metazoa; Chordata; Mammalia; Primates; Hominidae
Source: RNAcentral
UUCAUGAUGGUUCAGAUCCCCACUGAGGUC